Molecule: ribosomal RNA, 343 nt
Filed under: uncultured compost bacterium
Lineage: Bacteria
Description: bacterial SSU rRNA
Rfam family: Bacterial small subunit ribosomal RNA
Source: RNAcentral
UUAAUCGGAAUUACUGGGCGUAAAGCGCACGCAGGCGGUUGAUUAAGUCAGAUGUGAAAUCCCCGAGCUUAACUUGGGAACUGCAUUUGAAACUGGUCAGCUAGAGUCUUGUAGAGGGGGGUAGAAUUCCAGGUGUAGCGGUGAAAUGCGUAGAGAUCUGGAGGAAUACCGGUGGCGAAGGCGGCCCCCUGGACAAAGACUGACGCUCAGGUGCGAAAGCGUGGGGAGCAAACAGGAUUAGAUACCCUGGUAGUCCACGCUGUAAACGAUGUCGACUUGGAGGUUGUGCCCUUGAGGCGUGGCUUCCGGAGCUAACGCGUUAAGUCGACCGCCUGGGGAGUAC